AGAGUUUGAUCCUGGCUCAGAACUAACGCUGGCGGCGUGCCUAACACAUGCAAGUCGAACGCGAACGGAGCAAUCCUAGUAGAGUGGCGCACGGGUGCGUAACACGUGGAUAAUCUGCCCUCGGGAUCGGGAUAACUGUUGGAAACGGCAGCUAAUACCGGGUAAGACCACGGAGUGAAAGCUACGUGGUAAAAGUGGGGGAUUUUUCGAAACCUCACACCUGAGGAUGAGUCCGCGGCCCAUCAGCUAGUUGGUAGGGUAACGGCCUACCAAGGCUAAGACGGGUAGCUGGUCUGAGAGGACGACCAGCCACACUGGAACUGAGACACGGUCCAGACUCCUACGGGAGGCAGCAGUGGGGAAUAUUGCACAAUGGGCGCAAGCCUGAUGCAGCGACGCCGCGUGGGGGACGAAGGCCUUCGGGUUGUAAACCCCUGUCGGCAGGGACGAAUGGGUGGGCAGCUAACAUCUGUCUAUCCUGACGGUACCUGUAAAGGAAGCACCGGCUAACUCUGUGCCAGCAGCCGCGGUAAGACAGAGGGUGCAAGCGUUGUUCGGAAUUACUGGGCGUAAAGGGCGCGUAGGCGGUCUUAUAAGUCGGAUGUGAAAUCCCUCGUUUCAAGCGAGGAACUGCAUUCGAAACUAUUCGACUAGAGUCCUGGAGAGGGAACUGGAAUUCCUGGUGUAGAGGUGAAAUUCGUAGAGAUCAGGAGGAACACCCGAGGCGAAGGCGGGUUCCUGGACAGUGACUGACGCUGAGGCGCGAAAGCGUGGGUAUCAAACAGGAUUAGAUACCCUGGUAGUCCACGCUGUAAACGAUGAACACUAGUUGUCGGUGGCAUUGACCCCGCCGGUGACGAAGCUAACGCAUUAAGUGUUCCGCCUGGGGAGUACGGCCGCAAGGUUAAAACUCAAAGGAAUUGACGGGGGCCCGCACAAGCGGUGGAGCAUGUAGUUUAAUUCGACGCAACGCGAAGAACCUUACCCAGAUUUGACAUCUAAGGAAUCCGCUAGAAAUAGUGGAGUGCCUUUCGGGGAGCCUUAAGACAGGUGCUGCAUGGCUGUCGUCAGCUCGUGUCGUGAGAUGUUGGGUUAAGUCCCGCAACGAGCGCAACCCUUGCCGUUAGUUGCCAGCGAGUAAAGUCGGGCACUCUAACGGGACUGCCGGUGUUAAGCCGGAGGAAGGUGGGGAUGACGUCAAGUCCUCAUGGCCUUUAUGUCUGGGGCUACAUACGUGCUACAAUGGUCGGUACAAAGGGCAGCGAAACCGCGAGAUGGAGCGAAUCCCAAAAAACCGAUCUCAGUUCAGAUUGGAGUCUGCAACUCGACUCCAUGAAGCCGGAAUCGCUAGUAAUCGCGGAACAGCAGGCCGCGGUGAAUACGUUCCCGGGCCUUGUACACACCGCCCGUCACACCAUGGGAGUCGGCUGCUCCAGAAGUCGCUGAGCUAACCGCAAGGAGGCAGGCGCCCAAGGAGUGGUCGGUGACUGGGGUGAAGUCGGAACAAGGUA
Molecule: ribosomal RNA, 1511 nt
Filed under: metagenome
Description: bacterial SSU rRNA
Rfam family: Bacterial small subunit ribosomal RNA
Source: RNAcentral